This 18-nucleotide microRNA is filed under the name Ciona intestinalis (vase tunicate). Its description in RNAcentral is "cin-miR-4205-5p". The record is from miRBase by way of RNAcentral. Lineage: Eukaryota; Metazoa; Chordata; Ascidiacea; Phlebobranchia; Cionidae.
CGGUUUAAUUGGAUGGAA